Molecule: ribosomal RNA, 479 nt
Filed under: uncultured bacterium
Lineage: Bacteria
Description: partial 16S ribosomal RNA
Rfam family: Bacterial small subunit ribosomal RNA
Source: RNAcentral
UGGGAAUAUUGCACAAUGGGCGCAAGCCUGAUGCAGCCAUGCCGCGUGUGUGAAGAAGGCCUUCGGGUUGUAAAGCACUUUCAGCGAGGAGGAAGGUGGUGAACUUAAUACGUUCAUCAAUUGACGUUACUCGCAGAAGAAGCACCGGCUAACUCCGUGCCAGCAGCCGCGGUAAUACGGAGGGUGCAAGCGUUAAUCGGAAUUACUGGGCGUAAAGCGCACGCAGGCGGUUUGUUAAGUCAGAUGUGAAAUCCCCCGGGCUCAACCUGGGAACUGCAUUUGAAACUGGCAAGCUAGAGUCUCGUAGAGGGGGUAGAAUUCCAGGUGUAGCGGUGAAAUGCGUAGAGAUCUGGAGGAAUACCGGUGGCGAAGGCGGCCCCCCUGGANGAAGACUGACGCUCAGGUGCGAAAAGCGUGGGGAGCAAAACAGGAUUAGAUACCCUGGUAGUCCACGCUGUAAAACGAUGUCGAUUUGGAGG